CUUUAACAAUCUGGAACAAGCUGAAAAUUGAAAGUUUACAGCUGAACAUCACUCUCCGUAGAAGUACUGAGUGAUGGAUUAGCCUGUAACAGAGUCUCUCAAAUAAUCGCAGCGCGACGUUGUCUUUAAGACACCUUCGG
RNAcentral lists this small RNA (140 nucleotides) under Rahnella inusitata. RNAcentral describes it as "npcRNA 44". It matches the Rfam family "Salmonella enterica Typhi npcRNA 44". Lineage: Bacteria; Pseudomonadati; Pseudomonadota; Gammaproteobacteria; Enterobacterales; Yersiniaceae. The record is from RNAcentral.